This 285-nucleotide unclassified non-coding RNA is filed under the name Takifugu rubripes (torafugu). Lineage: Eukaryota; Metazoa; Chordata; Actinopteri; Tetraodontiformes; Tetraodontidae. The record is from RNAcentral.
UUGAGAAAGAGAUUGACUUUUGUUUGGAGUUUGUGAGAAGUGGGAAUCAGAAGCAGGACAAUGGGACUCCCCACGGUGAGAGGCUGAGAGGAGCCAUCUCAAAUCAGUCAGCCAGAGGACUAACUAAUCCGUCCAUUGUCCCUCCCCAGCCACCGGCCGCACAUCAACACAUUCGCCCCCAUUGUCCCCCACCCUCAUGCAGCGGGAUUUGCUCUCCCCAACAGCCAGUUUUGUCCGAGGCAGUUCGAGCGGAAGUUUCUCACUGACAAUUUGCCCCAAAUAGAU